This is a non-coding RNA of Collybia nuda, 82 nucleotides long. The record is from the annotation of a GenBank genome assembly. Lineage: Eukaryota; Fungi; Basidiomycota; Agaricomycetes; Agaricales; Clitocybaceae.
GCAUUAAUGGGGUAGUGGUAACCUGGGUCGUUGCCAUUCGCAUUGUUUCGACCCGCCGGGAGUUCGAUUCUCUCUUAAUGCA